Molecule: ribosomal RNA, 253 nt
Filed under: uncultured bacterium
Lineage: Bacteria
Description: partial 16S ribosomal RNA
Rfam family: Bacterial small subunit ribosomal RNA
Source: RNAcentral
UACGUAGGGUGCAAGCGUUGUCCGGAAUUAUUGGGCGUAAAGAGCUCGUAGGCGGUUCGUCGCGUCGGCUGUGAAAUCCCGAGGCUCAACCUCGGGUCUGCAGUCGAUACGGGCGGACUGGAGUUCGGCAGGGGAGACUGGAAUUCCUGGUGUAGCGGUGAAAUGCGCAGAUAUCAGGAGGAACACCGGUGGCGAAGGCGGUUCUCUGGGCCUGUACUGACGCUGAGGAGCGAAAGCGUGGGGAGCGAACAGG